CCUACGGGUGGCAGCAGUGGGGAAUAUUGCACAAUGGGCGCAAGCCUGAUGCAGCCAUGCCGCGUGUGUGAAGAAGGCCUUCGGGUUGUAAAGCACUUUCAGCGGGGAGGAAGGCGGUGAGGUUAAUAACCUCAUCGAUUGACGUUACCCGCAGAAGAAGCACCGGCUAACUCCGUGCCAGCAGCCGCGGUAAUACGGAGGGUGCAAGCGUUAAUCGGAAUUACUGGGCGUAAAGCGCACGCAGGCGGUCUGUCAAGUCGGAUGUGAAAUCCCCGGGCUCAACCUGGGAACUGCAUUCGAAACUGGCAGGCUAGAGUCUUGUAGAGGGGGGUAGAAUUCCAGGUGUAGCGGUGAAAUGCGUAGAGAUCUGGAGGAAUACCGGUGGCGAAGGCGGCCCCCUGGACAAAGACUGACGCUCAGGUGCGAAAGCGUGGGGAGCAAACAGGAUUAGAUACCCAGUAGUC
RNAcentral lists this ribosomal RNA (464 nucleotides) under uncultured Klebsiella sp. RNAcentral describes it as "bacterial SSU rRNA". It matches the Rfam family "Bacterial small subunit ribosomal RNA", at positions 338 to 795 of the family's 1533-position model. The record is from RNAcentral. Lineage: Bacteria; Pseudomonadati; Pseudomonadota; Gammaproteobacteria; Enterobacterales; Enterobacteriaceae.